CACACCGCCCGCCACACCAUGGGAGUGGGUUGCUCCAGAAGUGGUUAGCCUAACCUUAGGAGGGGCGAUCACCACGGAGUGAUUCAUGACUGGGGUG
Molecule: ribosomal RNA, 97 nt
Filed under: uncultured bacterium
Lineage: Bacteria
Description: partial 16S ribosomal RNA
Rfam family: Bacterial small subunit ribosomal RNA
Source: RNAcentral